GUGCCAGCCGCCGCGGUAAGACGGAGGAUGCAAGUGUUAUCCGGAAUCACUGGGCGUAAAGCGUCUGUAGGUGGUUUAAUAAGUCAACUGUUAAAUCUUGAGGCUCAACCUCAAAAUCGCAGUCGAAACUAUUAGGCUAGAGUAUAGUAGGGGUAAAGGGAAUUUCCAGUGGAGCGGUGAAAUGCGUAGAGAUUGGAAAGAACACCGAUGGCGAAGGCACUUUACUGGGCUAUUACUAACACUCAGAGACGAAAGCUAGGGUAGCAAAUGGGAUUAGAUACCCCUGUAGUCC
Molecule: ribosomal RNA, 292 nt
Filed under: uncultured bacterium
Lineage: Bacteria
Description: partial 16S ribosomal RNA
Rfam family: Bacterial small subunit ribosomal RNA
Source: RNAcentral